GGAGUGACUGAUGUGUGAGGGGGAAAUGUAAGAAACGACAAUUAAUGACACUUGCUAUGUCCCUUUUUUACUUUAUCUUAUGAUCUGUAUGCAGUGGGUUUUUUCCUCCCUGGAUAUAUAAUCUCUUCUGAUUGAGCUUUUAUGUUUUUGCCUUUCUUUGGGAAAAUAACAAUGUUAGUAAGUGUACUUCUGAGCCAUACCUGUCUUAUCAUUUCAAUCCACACAACUCUAUGAAGUACGUACUGGGAUAUUAUGGUUUUUUUAGAGGGAGAUACUCGAGCUCAGAGAGGGCAGGUCAUUUGCCCGAGAUCAUACAGCUUGUUAGUGGCACAGCCUGGAUUUCAACUCAGGCAGUCUGACACGAGGACCCUCUCACUUAAUGCCCAUGCAAUACUGCCCUCCUCUGCUUCAUAGAAAAGGUGCAACUGUGUAAAGGUGUUCCUGGAAGUAAAAACGUGAGCUUUUGUCAUAGAUUAGUCACUUGACAUCUCAGAGCCUUAGCUUCCUCAUCAGUAAAAUGACAACUUGGACUAAAUAGAUGCAUUAAAGGCCUAGCCAGAAGUAAAGUUCAAGAUUUAGAGUAUUACUAUGUGAGUAUUAGAGUAUCAGUAUUCUUGCUCAGCAUUGUAAGAAAUCUUAACCUGGAGAUACAGUGUUAGCCACUUCAUUGGUUUGUGUGAUCUCACCACAGCGCCUUGUUUUAACACUACUUGUGCUGCUUUCUACAACAUUACCUCUUCCUGCUCCUUCUAAUUAAUACUCUUUGCUUUGCAAAUGUGAUAUCUAAUCAAUUUAAUGUUCUUUUUUUUUUUUUCUUUUCUUUGAGACGGAGUCUUGCUCUGUCGUGCCCAGUCUGGAGUGCAGUGGCGCGAUCUCGGCUCACUGCUACUUCUGCCUCCUGGGUUUGAGCAAUUCUCCCACUUCAGUCUCCCAAGUAGCUGGGACUACAGGCACCCACCACCACACCCAGCUAAUUUUUUAUAUUUUUAGUAGAGGCAGGAUUUUACCAUAUUGGCCAGGCUGGUCUUGAACUUCCAACGUCAGGUGAUCCACCUACCUCGGCCUCCCAAAGUGUUGGAAUUACAGACGUGAGCCACCGAGCCCGUCCUAAUGUUCAUUUCUUACUAAACUUGAAUAAGACUCCUGGUGUGGGGGAGGGGAGUCAGUUUCAGUUAAGUAGUUGUUAGGAUGAUCUUGAAGUAUUAGUUAGCCUGAAUCAUUUUUAAAUUCCCUUCAGAAACCAAGAAUGUUAUUCAACUGUACCAAAUAAAUAACAACACGUCAGUUGCUAAUGGAACACGGUCACACUGGCCAUCUAUGGAAAUCCUCAUGUUUCCAAUGCUCUCAUUAACUACCCUGAAGAAUCAAUUUAAAAGUAAAACUAGAUUGAAUCAGAUUUCCCCCUUUUUUAUUCCAGGGGGAGGGGGAAAGGUCUUUGUUUCUUUCAUAUGUUUAAAGAAUCUUCAAAAUAUUUUAAUGAUAGAGUUGUCUAUCUGUUUCAUAUUAUCAUAUCUCCAUUAGCCUUCUAAACUCAGCCAUAUUAUUUGAUUCCUUGAAAACCAUCUAAUGUUUAAGAACACUAUAUUUUCCCCUUUUUUCUUAAUUGUUUAACUUCUCCACCAGUCACAAACACUGUUAUUCAGCCUUAAUUUUUUUUUUUUUUUUUUUUUUUUUGAGACAGUGUUUCACUCUUGUCACUCAGGCUGGAGUGCAUAGGCACCAUCUCGGCUCACUGCAACUUCCGCGUCCCAGGUUCAAGCGAUUCUCCUGCCUCAACCUCCCGAGUAGCUGGGAUUACCGGCACCCACCACCACUCCCAGCUGAUUUUUGAAUUUUUAGUAGAGACGAUGUUUCACCAUGUUGUCUAGGCUGGUCUCAAACUCCUGACCUCAGAUGAUCCACCUGCCUCGGCCUCCCAAAGUGCUGGGAUUACAAGUGUGAGCCACCACACCUGGCCUAUUCAGCCCUCUUGAUCUGCAGGCUGGAUUCAUAGGUCUUCAUCUUAGUACAGUAGGAAGUAUACUGGCAUCAGGAGGUCAAGCUUACUUCUUUCAUUACCUAUUAAGGUAGAUAGGCAUUUGUUAUAAAAUUGAACAAAAAGGAACUAGUUUACAAUUUUACAUAAAUAGUAAAAGAGAAUAAUUUCUUCUUUUCGUAGAUAAGAAAUGUUAUCAACUGGCAUAAUUUCUUACCAGUCUGUCAUCCUCCAUUUAGAAAACCAUUAGUAAUUAAAUGUUGUUUUCCUUUACCAUGUUCCUAAAUAUGAAUCCUUCAUAAGGCAUCUAUUAAAUACCUACUAUGGGGCGGUAUACAUUAUUGAUUAAAUCAAUCCAUAUUUCCCUGAGAAAGACCAAGAAAAAUUUCAAGGAAACAUGUAUCACAGCUACAUGCAUUGAGUACUUUAUAUGUUCCAGGCACUGUGAAAAGCCAUGUAUCAAUCUGUUUCAUCCUCACAAAACUCUGCAGGAUUGUUGUUAGUAUCUUCUCCAUAUGAUAGACUAUGAAACUAAGAUUUAUCGAGAUGAAACACCUUGCCAAAGGCUGCAUGUCCAAAAAACCUCAAGCUAGAAGACAAUGAAACAAUGUCAUCAGCCUGGACAACACAGCUAGACUCUGGUCUCUACAAAAAUAUAUUUUUUAAAAUCAGCUAGGUGUGGUGGCACACGCCUG
This 2670-nucleotide long non-coding RNA is filed under the name Homo sapiens (human). RNAcentral describes it as "HSALNT0193365". The record is from RNAcentral. Lineage: Eukaryota; Metazoa; Chordata; Mammalia; Primates; Hominidae.